UCCCUGGUGGCCCAGUGGUUAAGAAUUUGCCUUCCAAUGCAAGGGACAUGGGUUCAAUCCCUGUUCAGGGAA
RNAcentral lists this transfer RNA (72 nucleotides) under Bos taurus (domestic cattle). It matches the Rfam family "tRNA". From Rfam's summary of the family: Transfer RNA (tRNA) molecules are approximately 80 nucleotides in length. Lineage: Eukaryota; Metazoa; Chordata; Mammalia; Artiodactyla; Bovidae. The record is from Rfam by way of RNAcentral. RNAcentral also lists the same sequence under 4 other names.